UGGGGAAUUUUGCACAAUGGGAGAAACCCUGAUGCAGCGACGCCGCGUGAUUUAGAAGGCCUUCGGGUUGUAAAAAUCUUUUCUAUGGGAAGAAAAUGACAGUACCAUAGGAAUAAGGACCGGCUAAUUACGUGCCAGCAGCCGCGGUAAUACGUAAGGUCCGAGCGUUGUCCGGAAUCAUUGGGCGUAAAGGGUACGUAGGCGGGUAAGCAAGUUAGAAGUGAAAUCCUAUAGCUCAACUAUAGUAAGCUUUUAAAACUGCUCAUCUUGAUGUAUGGAGGGAAAAGUGGAAUUCCUAGUGUGGCGGUGAAAUGCGCGGAUAUUAGGAGGAAUACCGGUGGCGAAGGCGAGUUUCUGGCCAUAACCUGACGCUCAGGUACGAGAGCGUGGGUAGCAAGCAGG
RNAcentral lists this ribosomal RNA (402 nucleotides) under bacterium. Its description in RNAcentral is "partial 16S ribosomal RNA". It matches the Rfam family "Bacterial small subunit ribosomal RNA", at positions 355 to 776 of the family's 1533-position model. The record is from RNAcentral.